This 415-nucleotide ribosomal RNA is filed under the name Anchistus demani. RNAcentral's name for it is "partial large subunit ribosomal RNA". It matches the Rfam family "Bacterial large subunit ribosomal RNA", at positions 1939 to 2556 of the family's 2925-position model. The record is from RNAcentral. Lineage: Eukaryota; Metazoa; Arthropoda; Malacostraca; Decapoda; Palaemonidae.
AUUUUGACCGUGCAAAGGUAGCAUAGUCAUUAGCUUUUUAAUUGAAAGCUGGAAUGAACGGCUAGAUGAGAAAUAAACUGUCUUUUCUUAUUUUGUAGAAAUUAACUUUUAAGUGAAAAGGCUUAAAUUUUAUGAAGGGACGAUAAGACCCUGUAAAACUUAUAUAUUUGUUUUUAAUAAAUUUUAAAGUUAAAUAAGGUAUAAAUUGUUUAUUAAUACUAAUAUUUUGUUGGGGAGACAAAGAUAUAAUUUUUAACUGUCUAUUUAAAUCUUAUAUUCAUCUAUAUUUUAAGAUCCUUUAUUAAGGAGUAUAAGAAAAAGUUACUUCAGGGAUAACAGCGUAAUUUUCUCUCAGAGUUCUUAUCGACGAGAAUAGUUGCGACCUCGAUGUUGAAUUAAGGUUUCAGAAAGGUGC